GGCUCAGAUUGAACGCUGGCGGCAUGCCUUACACAUGCAAGUCGAACGGCAGCACGGACUUCGGUCUGGUGGCGAGUGGCGAACGGGUGAGUAAUGCAUCGGAACGUGCCAUUGAGUGGGGGAUAACGUAGCGAAAGUUGCGCUAAUACCGCAUAUUCUGUGAGCAGGAAAGCAGGGGACCGCAAGGCCUUGCGCUCUUUGAGCGGCCGAUGUCAGAUUAGCUAGUUGGUGAGGUAAAGGCUUACCAAGGCGACGAUCUGUAGCGGGUCUGAGAGGAUGAUCCGCCACACUGGAACUGAGACACGGUCCAGACUCCUACGGGAGGCAGCAGUGGGGAAUUUUGGACAAUGGGCGGAAGCCUGAUCCAGCCAUGCCGCGUGAGUGAAGAAGGCCUUCGGGUUGUAAAGCUCUUUCGGCCGGGAAGAAAUCGCAUGGGUUAAUACCCUGUGUGGAUGACGGUACCGGAAUAAGAAGCACCGGCUAACUACGUG
RNAcentral lists this ribosomal RNA (491 nucleotides) under uncultured bacterium. RNAcentral's name for it is "bacterial SSU rRNA". It matches the Rfam family "Bacterial small subunit ribosomal RNA", at positions 21 to 507 of the family's 1533-position model. The record is from RNAcentral.